Molecule: transfer RNA, 74 nt
Filed under: Actinia tenebrosa (Australian red waratah sea anemone)
Lineage: Eukaryota; Metazoa; Cnidaria; Anthozoa; Actiniaria; Actiniidae
Description: tRNA-Arg
Rfam family: tRNA
About the family: Transfer RNA (tRNA) molecules are approximately 80 nucleotides in length.
Source: Rfam by way of RNAcentral
ACCCCCGUGCCGCAAUGGAUUAGCGCGUUGGACUUCUAAUUCAAAGGUUGUGGGUUCGAGUCCCACCGGAGGUG